Molecule: ribosomal RNA, 355 nt
Filed under: Pseudomonas sp. AE_71
Lineage: Bacteria; Pseudomonadati; Pseudomonadota; Gammaproteobacteria; Pseudomonadales; Pseudomonadaceae
Description: bacterial SSU rRNA
Rfam family: Bacterial small subunit ribosomal RNA
Source: RNAcentral
CCUGGCUCAGAUUGAACGCUGGCGGCAGGCCUAACACAUGCAAGUCGAGCGGAUGACGGGAGCUUGCUCCUUGAUUCAGCGGCGGACGGGUGAGUAAUGCCUAGGAAUCUGCCUGGUAGUGGGGGACAACGUUUCGAAAGGAACGCUAAUACCGCAUACGUCCUACGGGAGAAAGCAGGGGACCUUCGGGCCUUGCGCUAUCAGAUGAGCCUAGGUCGGAUUAGCUAGUUGGUGGGGUAAUGGCUCACCAAGGCGACGAUCCGUAACUGGUCUGAGAGGAUGAUCAGUCACACUGGAACUGAGACACGGUCCAGACUCCUACGGGAGGCAGCAGUGGGGAAUAUUGGACAAUGGG